UGAUACAUUUGAUUUUUUUAUAUUUUACAAAGAAAAAUAAUACAUUUUUCUCUGGGCUGACUUCUUAAGUUACAGCCCAGCUCCUUUAAAAAGUUCUUUUUAACACUGAUGCUUUGACUUGUCCUUGUGCUUUAUGAGGUCACUUGAACUGACUCUUUCAUUACCACAGGGGUGUAAUGUGUUACAAUGGAAAUGCUCUGGGCUUUGAAAUCAGUCAGACCUCAAUUUCGAUUCUAAUUCCUAAAUUUACUGUCUGUUUUGCUUUAAAAUGUUACUAAAACUCUGAGUGUUUCCUCAUUUAUGAAUGGCCAUGUGCAAGAUGUCCCUCAUGCCAGCAUCUUUUCCUUUACUCUGUCAUCAUCAUCAUGGAAAAAUGUAAAGAAAAGAAACAAUAUAUUCUGAGCACCGUGGGUGAGAAGAUAUUUAAAGUCUAUUCUUGUUCUGUUGCAAGUAGAAUUGAAUAUUUUGGAAGGAUAUUAUUGAUUGCUCCCAGAAUCUCCAGGGAAGGUUGAUGAAAGAUUGAGAGAGAAUGUCCAAAAUCAAUCUGCACAACAGAUCCGUCUGUGGAAGACACCACUGUGCCCCCAAUGUGCCCAGCACUCGUGUUGGACCUUGACCCAGGACCACUGCUAGUCCCAGCAAUGCUAGCUUCCUGAAGUUCCUACUGCCUCAGAGUGAAUUCUUAACAAAGUCAGUGACUGGGGAUAUUCCACAUCAGUGGCAAAAGAGGCUGGGAAAACAAGUGUCUAGUAUUUUCAACUACUAUAGUUGACACAACAUGCGGCCCAAGAUUUCCAGAUCUCCUUUGCUCUGAAAACGCAGGGAUGAGAAUACUUCCUCACAAGACCCCACCUCCGGCUGCAGGCAAGACCAGCCACCCCAUGAC
RNAcentral lists this long non-coding RNA (886 nucleotides) under Equus asinus (donkey). RNAcentral's name for it is "lncRNA (ENSEASG00005027581.1)". The record is from RNAcentral. Lineage: Eukaryota; Metazoa; Chordata; Mammalia; Perissodactyla; Equidae.